RNAcentral lists this long non-coding RNA (950 nucleotides) under Anas platyrhynchos platyrhynchos (common mallard). RNAcentral describes it as "lncRNA (ENSAPLG00000020742.1)". Lineage: Eukaryota; Metazoa; Chordata; Aves; Anseriformes; Anatidae. The record is from RNAcentral.
GUGACCUUGGCCUUGAAGGGGCUGCCGACGAUGUGGUGGGGGCCGCCGUACUUGAUGGAGAUGAGGUAGUUGCCGGGGGCCAUGGGGGUGUAGGUGACGCGGUGACCCUCGGCGCACUCCACGCAGUCCAGCUUCACCUUGGAGGGGCCGUCGAUGGUGACCGAGAGCGCGCCCGCCCCCGCGUUGGCCGUCUUCACCAGGAACUCCGAGCACACCCCUGCACGCGCGCGUGUCACACGCCGGCACCGGGACGCGGCCCCGCGGCCACCACCCCGUGCCCUGGCCCUAUUGGCACCGUCCUAUUGCCAUGGCCCUAUUGGCACCAUCCUAUUGCCACGUCCUUAUUGUCACCAUCCUAAUACCAUGGCCAUAUACCCGUUGCCAUCACUCCAUGCCAUGGCCGUGUCCCCUUUGUCACCAUCCUACUGCCAUGGCCAUGUCCCUACUGCUGCUACCCCAUGCCAUGUCCCUAUUGUCACCAUCCCAUGCCAUGGCCAUGGCCCCAUUGUCACCAUCCUACCACCAUGGCCAUAUACCCAUUGCCAUGACUCCAUGCCAUGGCCGUGGCCCUAUUGUCACCAUCCUACUGCCAUGGCCAUGUCCCUACUGCUGCUGUCCCAUGCCAUGUCCCUACUGUCACCACCCCGUGCCAUGGCCAUGUCCCUAUUGCCACCACCCCGUGCCAUGGCCGUGUCCCCAUUGUCACCAUCCUACUGCCAUGGCCAUAUCCCCAUUGCCAUGACCCCACGCCAUGGCUACGUUCCUAUUGCCACCAUCCUAAUACCAUGGCCAUGUCCCUAUUGCCACCACCCUGUGCCAUAGCUGUGGCCCUAUUGUCACCACCCUAAUGCCACGGCCAUAUCCCCAUUGCCCCCACCCCAUGCCAUGGCCAUGUCCCCACCGCCACCACCCCAAAGGCACGGCCACAUCCCCAUUGCCCCCACCCUAUA